UUUGAGUGUGCUGCCUGUUUUUUGUGUGUGGCUCUUGUGUGGGGUCGUUAGUUAGCAAGUGUUUGUCGGUCGGUUCGGUUCCAAUCCAACUUCGCGAGUCUCGUGUUCUUAGUGCUGUUUUAAGGCAUACCGCUUGGUGUCGUGUCCUGUGGGUCGUGUUUUGCGUGCAACGUGAGGCCUAGAAGCACUCGGGCUAGGCUGCCGUCUGGCAUUUACGAUUUGUCGUUCAAAGUGUUCUGAAAUUAAACAAGUCUGCCAAAGUAUUAGUGUUCUUUCUCUGGUGUGUGGCAAACAUCCGCUCGUGCACACAGAAAGCCUUUUCAUGUCUGAGUUCGUUAACCAUUUUUGUUCUGUGUAUUUUCCUACCCUGUAUUAUUUUAGUCUGGA
Culex quinquefasciatus (southern house mosquito) is the source of this 387-nucleotide long non-coding RNA. RefSeq lists it as uncharacterized. The record is from RefSeq and is a predicted model, not a curated record. The transcript has 3 exons. NCBI's taxonomy places the organism in Eukaryota, Metazoa, Arthropoda, Insecta, Diptera, Culicidae.